RNAcentral lists this ribosomal RNA (253 nucleotides) under uncultured bacterium. Its description in RNAcentral is "partial 16S ribosomal RNA". It matches the Rfam family "Bacterial small subunit ribosomal RNA", at positions 524 to 776 of the family's 1533-position model. The record is from RNAcentral.
UACAGAGGUGGCAAGCGUUGUUCGGAAUUACUGGGCGUAAAGGGCGCGUAGGCGGUUCGUCAAGUCCUGUGUGAAAUCCCCCGGCUCAACUGGGGAACUGCACAGGAAACUAGCGGGCUUGAGUUCGGGAGAGGGAAGCGGAAUUCCGGGUGUAGCGGUGAAAUGCGUAGAUAUCCGGAGGAACACCGGUGGCGAAGGCGGUUUCCUGGACCGACACUGACGCUGAGGCGCGAAAGCUAGGGGAGCAAACGGG